GAUAAGCUUCAAACCACACAUGUUGGACUCGGUGAGAAACAUCUCUUCGGGCUAAAAAGUGGGCAGCACCAUUUCCAGCUCUUUGGACACAACGAACAGACCAGUUCUGGAGUGUUGAUAGGAGGUUCCUGGCAUCAGCUAUGAGGCUCCCAAAUUUGCCCAAACAUUCCUCUUCCUUCUUCAGCGCCAAGACGAUUUCCUGGGCAUCCUCCAUUUCAACCGACUGGAACCCCAAACCCCUCGGCACAGAGAAGAUUGAAAGAAACAUCAUCAACUGAAAUCCAGUGUAUCUUGAUCUCUGUCUCUCUCUCUCUCUCUAUAUAUAUAUUUUGCUGUAAAAGAUUCUCUUGCUCCUGGUUUUUCUUUCAUACUGAAAAGAUCCAGUGUUAUAUCUAUAAGGAUCAGCCCAGAAUUUCGAUUAUUGUUCUCUAUGCGCAGAGCAGAUAUUCAAAACCUUGCAUUAGAAAAGCAAAAUCUCAACGUCUUAAACUACAUUUGAUUCUUUAGCCAUGGCAACCCUGCUGAAUUCACUGUCCCCUAUUACGAACCAAUUGCCAGAAACUACCAGAAAGGGUUGUGGGUUCUUCUCUCAAAUCCCAAAUCUCCACACAUUUUCUCUCAACAGGGGCUUUUCUAGAGUUUUGGCAUCUACCCAGAUCACCAUUUCUCCAAAAGACACUGUUGUUACUCUGCCCAACUGGAGGUCUGGGAAGAGCGACUCAAGGAGUAGGGAACUUAGACUAAAUGAUGCAUUUCUUCAUUUGGAGUAUAUGGCAGGGAAGGGCCAAAAGCCUGAUGUAGCUCAAGCAACUCAGCUCUUGUAUGAUCUGUGCAAGGCAAAUAAGAUGAGAAAAUCGAUUAGGGUGAUGGAGAUGAUGGUUACUUCUGGUAUUAUGCCUGAUGCAGCUUCGUACACGUACUUGGUGAAUUAUUUGUGUAAAAGAGGGAAUGUUGGGUAUGCAAUGCAAUUGGUGGAAAAAAUGGAGGAACAUGGCUUCCCAACCAAUACUGUUACUUAUAAUUCGCUCGUUAGAGGACUUUGUAUGCAUGGUAACUUGAACCAGAGCUUGCAGCUUCUGAAUAGAUUGAUGCAGAAGGGGCUGAUCCCAAAUGCAUUCACAUACUCCUUCUUGCUUGAAGCUGCUUAUAAGGAAAAAGGAGUAAAUGAAGCCAUGAAGCUAUUGGAUGAGAUAAUUGCCAAGGGUGGGAAGCCUAAUUUGGUUUGUUAUAACAUUUUGUUAACUGGGUUGUGUAAGGAAGGUAGGAUCGAAGAGGCCAUUCAGCUCUUCAGGGAUUUUCCUUCCAAGGGGUUCAAUCCAAACGUUGUGAGUUAUAACAUUUUGUUGAGGAGUUUGUGCUAUGAGGGGCACUGGGAGGAAGCAAAUGAGCUUCUGGCUGAGAUGGAUGGUGAGGAUCGCUCACCCUCAAUCGUUACUUACAACAUAUUGAUUAGUUCGCUUGCUCUACACGGCAGAACUGAGCAUGCGCUUGAGGUGUUAGAUGAAAUGAUGAGCAUACGGUUCAAGCCUACUGCUGCAAGCUACAACCCAAUAAUUGCACGUCUCUGCACUGAGGGGAAGCUAGAUCUUGUGGUCAAGUGUUUAGACCAAAUGAUUCAUCGUCAUUGUACUCCCAAUGAAGGAACUUACAAUGCGAUUGCUGUUCUCUGUGAGGAGGGGAUGGUGCAAGAGGCAUUCUCUAUAAUUCAAAGCUUGGGUAAUAAGCAAAACUCCUCCAUGCAUGAUUUCUACAGAAGUGUGAUUACAAGCCUGUGCAGGAAAGGGAAUACAUAUCCAGCAUUUCAGCUUUUAUAUGAGAUCACAAAGCAUGGAUUUACGCCAGAUUCCUACACCUAUUCAUCCUUAAUCAGAGGAUUGUGUAUGGAAGGAAUGCUAGAUGAGGCUAUGGAGAUAUUCUGGGUAAUGGAAGAAAAUAACUAUAGGCCUGAUACUGACAAUUUCAAUGCACUUAUACUUGGAUUUUGCAAAUCUCAAAGAACAGAUUUGUCCUUGGAGAUUUUUGAGAUGAUGAUUGAGAAAGGGUAUAUGCCUAAUGAAACAACUUAUACCAUUCUUGUGGAAGGGAUUGCCCACGAAAAAGAAAAUCAGCUGGCAGCCAAAGUUUUGAAAGAGUUGCAUCUUAGACAAGUUGUGAGUCAGAGUACAGUGGAGAGACUUGUUAUGCAGUAUGACCUUGAGGGUCUCCCAGUAUAGAUAACAUGAGAAUACCAUGAGUAUAGAAAGAAGCAAACAUGACCACGGGUUUUGUAGGAGAAAGAUUUGUUUAUUCAGUUUGAUAGCUGUGUACAAUCAUGAAUUUUGUAGAUUGGUCAAUGAAAGAAAGCCUCUUUUGGAAGAUGAUAUUGUAUGCUAUUGUUUAGAAGUGAACAACUUCAUGCACGAGGAUCUCAGCUCUGUGGUCCAGCUAGUUUCCCGUUGCUGCCAGUUGCCUCCUCCUCGCCGUUCACCACCUUCACCGCGUCGGCCGUCAUGAUGGUUUUGGUUCUCAGAUCUACUUUCCAAGCUGCCUCUGAAACUAUGAAUAAUGGUCUUAAUUAGUCCAUGUUUACCAUGAUACAAUGCUGGUACUUGGCUAAUAGAUACUGAAAUUCUGAAUUGCCUCAUUAUGGAUGGAUGUGAUAUUUUACUAUAUCCAGCUCCUAUGCAUUGCCUUUUCCUUGUCCUAAAUAGAAAUGCUACAUUUUAAUUUAUUAUGUUGACAUGAAAAAAUAUCACUUGCUUUGACAGAACUUGAUCAAUUGUUAGAAGAUGCACCCUUGCCAUUCAUCAUGCAGCACGCUGCCAAGAUUUUGGGUGUUAGACAGAGAGUCUCUUCAUUGAAUUCAAUUUUAAAAUCCAUACAGCACCGAGUUGAUAAUAUAGACCGAC
Alnus glutinosa is the source of this 2888-nucleotide RNA transcript. It is a transcript of the gene named pentatricopeptide repeat-containing protein At1g79080, chloroplastic-like, with no coding region annotated. Lineage: Eukaryota; Viridiplantae; Streptophyta; Magnoliopsida; Fagales; Betulaceae. The transcript is spliced from 2 exons. The record is from RefSeq and is a predicted model, not a curated record.